Molecule: small nuclear RNA, 106 nt
Organism: Suncus etruscus (white-toothed pygmy shrew)
Lineage: Eukaryota; Metazoa; Chordata; Mammalia; Eulipotyphla; Soricidae
Source: RefSeq, a predicted model, not a curated record
GUGCUCACCCCGACAGCACAUAUACUAAAAUUGGAAUGGUCAGACAAGAUUAGCAUUGCCCCUGAGCAAAGAUGACAUACAAAUUUGUAAAGUAUUGACUCUUUUA